Molecule: long non-coding RNA, 1542 nt
Filed under: Malus domestica (apple)
Lineage: Eukaryota; Viridiplantae; Streptophyta; Magnoliopsida; Rosales; Rosaceae
Description: long non-coding RNA (MDOM_LNC010971)
Source: RNAcentral
GAGAAUGCCAAGAUUUCCUCCUUUCUUUCCUUCCUUCCCCAACGCAGCUGCCUUGUCCUCUUUCUCCUUCCUUUCCUUCUUUUUUUUCUAUCUUUUUUUCCUCUCAAAGAAAAACCCUUUUGCCGCUGCAACCUGCAGCCUUUAUGCCCAUGCUUGCUGCCCCAUUUUUGCUCCAUAACUCACCCCACUAACAGCCAUUUAGUGAUGACAAUAAGUGAGAGGAAAUGGUAAAACAAUUGUAACUCUUUGGACAACCUUUAUGCCAAUUACUCCCACUUAAUCCUCAUCUUUAAUUCCAUUUCAUCUGAUAUUUGAAUAGGUGUCAGCUGGCUUGUUCUUGGCUGCAUUAGUUUUGGCUGCUAGUUUUAUUGGAUUUAUUGCCUUCAAUGCAGUUACAAACUGCUCAGCGUCUUGGAAACCUUUCAGUGUUAAAACGGCCAUAACUUCUUCUAGCAAAAUGAUAUUAACAAUCCGCGAAAUGCUCUAGAAAAUAGACAUCCGUAGCUUUCCAAGAAUAUAAGGCUCAUUCUCUAAUUCAUUCUGAGUUGUUUGCAACUUGCUUCCAAAGUCAGAUGAUCUGCACAGGCAGUUUUGACGAAUUUGUUACUUAAUAUCCAACUUGUGCUAUUUUUCUUUUCUUUGCUUGACAAAUCCCACAAAACACAAAAACAAAGUAAAUAGCUCAAAAAUAUAAGGAACUAACUAAGAAAAGAGAAGUGAAUUUGAUGUAAAAUAUAUAUAAAUAUGAGCUUCUCAUACAACUGCAGCUAAGAGUAUGUUUAAUGGGUCGAAACGCUAAAACAUUCGGAGUACGGAAGAUGAUAGAAGUUGCCCAGUUCUAUACUUGAUGCUUGAUGUUCAACUAAUCAACGUACCAUAAGGGCAGGUGCAGAUAUGCAAAACAUGUUUCUAUGCUCACUCCGAGGAGUAGCGCUAUCAAAAAGCUUUAGACAUAGAUGACAAUCUUGUUCAGUGAAAAUUGUCUUGCAAAAUUCUUUUGCCAGUGAGCCUAAAUCAUAGGAACCAUGGAAAAGAAAUCAAACAACAAGCAAUCUUAUAGACGAAUGAGAACGAGUACGCAAUGGUCUAAUCAAUACAAAUGACGAUGGAACUAAAUCUCACCAGCGAGAGAUGUUCCCUCAGUGAAUGAAAAGACAUGAAGUGCUUUUUACACACUCCACAUCUCAGCUGAUGAACUGAGUGGAAUGAGCCCUUGGUGUGCUCGAAAAGAUGUUCCUUUUGCCUGUACUGCUUGUAACAUGAAGAACAUCCGUAACAUGAGGAAAGUUUAUAAAUAGCCACCCACCAAAACACAAAUUUACGUUCAAUUUCUCAGCAACCAAGCAAGUCCUUGUGGAAAUGUGAAAGAAAAUGCCAUAAAGCUCAUAAAUUUCACACAGAGAGAGUGAUCGAACCUUGUAUAUUUGGUAUUAGGAAAGUCUGGUUCGAAAUUCAUGGAUCCCGGAGCUGUUCUCUGCGAAACACCUAUGGAGCUCCAAGAUUGGCGCGAAAAUUGCAGUGUGAGAAAUUGCGCAGAAACUG